UAAUACGUAGGGUGCAAGCGUUAAUCGGAAUUACUGGGCGUAAAGGGUGCGCAGGCGGUACUGUAAGUCAGAUGUGAAAUCCCCGGGCUUAACCUGGGAAUUGCGUUUGAAACUACAGAACUAGAGUGUAAUAGAGGGAGACGGAAUUCCAUGUGUAGCAGUGAAAUGCGUAGAGAUAUGGAAGAACAUCGAUGGCGAAGGCAGUCUCCUGGAUUAACACUGACGCUCAUGCACGAAAGCGUGGGGAGCAAACAGGAUUAGAUACCCUGGUAGUCCACGCCCUAAACUAUGUCAACUAGUUGUUGGGCUUUAAAAAGCUUAGUAACGUAGCUAACGCGUGAAGUUGACCGCCUGGGGAGUACGGUCGCAAGAUUAAAACUCAAAGGAAUUGACGG
This 395-nucleotide ribosomal RNA is filed under the name uncultured Nitrosomonadales bacterium. Its description in RNAcentral is "bacterial SSU rRNA". It matches the Rfam family "Bacterial small subunit ribosomal RNA", at positions 521 to 916 of the family's 1533-position model. The record is from RNAcentral. Lineage: Bacteria; Pseudomonadati; Pseudomonadota; Betaproteobacteria; Nitrosomonadales.